Molecule: ribosomal RNA, 253 nt
Filed under: uncultured bacterium
Lineage: Bacteria
Description: partial 16S ribosomal RNA
Rfam family: Bacterial small subunit ribosomal RNA
Source: RNAcentral
UACGUAGGGUGCAAGCGUUGUCCGGAAUUAUUGGGCGUAAAGAGCUCGUAGGCGGCUCGUCGCGUCUGCUGUGAAAGCCCGGGGCUUAACCCCGGGUCUGCAGUGGGUACGGGCGGGCUAGAGUGCGGUAGGGGAGACUGGAAUUCCUGGUGUAGCGGUGAAAUGCGCAGAUAUCAGGAGGAACACCGGUGGCGAAGGCGGGUCUCUGGGCCGUAACUGACGCUGAGGAGCGAAAGCCAGGGGAGCAAACGGG